AACGAACGCUGGCGGCAUGCCUAACACAUGCAAGUUGAACGAGACCUUCGGGUCUAGUGGCGCACGGGUGCGUAACGCGUGGGAACCUGCCCUUAGGUUCGGAAUAACUCUCCGACAGGGGUGCUAAUACAGGAUAAUGUCUUCGGACCAAAGAUUUAUCGCCUUUGGAUGGGCCCGCGUUGGAUUAGCUGGUUGGUAGGGUAAAAGCCUACCAAGGCGACGAUCCAUAGCUGGUCUGAGAGGAUGAUCAGCCACACUGGGACUGAGACACGGCCCAGACUCCUACGGGAGGCAGCAGUGGGGAAUAUUGGACAAUGGGCGAAAGCCUGAUCCAGCUAUGCCGCGUGAGUGAUGAAGGCCUUAGAGUUGUAAAGCUCUUUUACCCGGGAUGAUAAUGACAGUACCGGGAGAAUAAGCUCCGGCUAACUCCGUG
This 433-nucleotide ribosomal RNA is filed under the name uncultured bacterium. Its description in RNAcentral is "partial 16S ribosomal RNA". It matches the Rfam family "Bacterial small subunit ribosomal RNA", at positions 29 to 507 of the family's 1533-position model. The record is from RNAcentral.